RNAcentral lists this long non-coding RNA (1111 nucleotides) under Bos mutus (wild yak). Its description in RNAcentral is "lncRNA (ENSBMUG00000013000.1)". Lineage: Eukaryota; Metazoa; Chordata; Mammalia; Artiodactyla; Bovidae. The record is from RNAcentral.
CUUUGAAGCUUAAAGAACUAUCUUUCAGUUAUCUGUAGCAUUAGUUCUUUUGGCUGUCUGUGGUGUUAGAGAAAAUGAAUUUUACUAAAUUUGAAUAUGUACAUUUUAUUUGAUUCUUAAUAAAAUAAAGAGUAUAGUUGAUAGUAAGGUUCAUGGUCAGUGUUAAAGGUAAACGCCAGGAGUUUAGACCUUCAUAAAUAUGUUUGAUUCUGGGCCUUUUUCUCACUUAGUUCAAAGCUUAUUUAUAAAGUUCGGUGUCUGCUUGCUUCUUUUUAUAUACAUUAAUCGCUCUGUUGUGCAGAGUGUUAUUAAAAUCAAGUCCUGCUCCUAAUUGUCUUAAUAUCCUUUUUGCUUACGCAUCUUUCCAUUCAUUUUUAGUGGUAACACACAAAGCACCACCUGCAGGGCAGUGUGUUCUUAAAAGCGUGCUCCCUCUUGCGGCCAACCUGGGUCAUACUGCAUUCAAGUUGGACAGUUUUGAAUCUGCUGCAAAUAUCCUGAAAGGUUUAACCGAUGCCCAACUAGCAGAGAAGUCAGAGCCCUGGGGAACCUUAGGAAUCAGAGAAUUUAGCCUCUUCAUUUCACAGGUGAGGAAAUGAUGUCCUGGAGGGAUACCUAGAGCCAUACAGCAAAGUUGUCACUGGGGUCAAGGCUGGACCUUGGUCUCUUAACUUGUGUUUGGUACUUUGCAUGAUUGAGAUGGAAUUACCUCAGAAUUAAAUGGCAAACACAUCCCAUGAUGUACUGCUGUAAUGGGUUUUUAAACUACUGUUUUCUUUACUCAUAAAUGAACUGUAUUUCAAGUUAGGGGAUUAUGGUUGAAUUAUCAAAAUAUUCACUACAGAUUUAACUUGCAGACUCUUCAUAUGUACAUUGAUUCUGAUCAAUUUACAAUCUCUUGCUCCAUAGUCAGGGGAUUGGCUACUUGGAUGCAUCUAUCUGGUGGCAUAUCAUGGCCUUGGAUUUUGCAAGUAUUUUUGAUGGCAUGAGUAAAUAAUUAAGACGUAUCAAGUGAAAGUCUGAAAUAUAUAUAUAUAUACAGUAUAAUAUUAACAUUGUGUUAAAAAAAAACAAGAAUAUUCAUGCCUAGAGAGUAAAUAAUAGUGGCUCU